RNAcentral lists this transfer RNA (69 nucleotides) under Bacteriophage sp. RNAcentral describes it as "tRNA-OTHER". It matches the Rfam family "tRNA". Rfam says of the family: Transfer RNA (tRNA) molecules are approximately 80 nucleotides in length. Their secondary structure includes four short double-helical elements and three loops (D, anti-codon, and T loops). The record is from RNAcentral.
GCAUCAGUAGUGUAAUGGUAACACAAAAUUGUUUAAAUUUGAUUGUUGGUUCGAUUCCAAACUGAUGUA